This 234-nucleotide unclassified non-coding RNA is filed under the name Hevea brasiliensis (rubber tree). The record is from RNAcentral. Lineage: Eukaryota; Viridiplantae; Streptophyta; Magnoliopsida; Malpighiales; Euphorbiaceae.
GAAGCGAAUAACGCAUUGCUUCAUGGAUCUUAGGUGGGUCUUUUACCAUUAUAGCCUCAUCCAAAGCUUUAUUUACACAAAUCGCCUUUUCAGCUACGUAAACCUUGAAAUUAAAUUCUUCUUUUUCCAUAACAACUUUCUCAUUGGUAGCAAUAGCUGAAACAGUUACAGAUGAAAAUGUUCUAUAAGAUAAACUCUGUUGCAAAAUUUUUCGAUUUUUCGAAUUGAUUUUCA